CAUUAAUCACUUAUAAAAUUAAGGAGGUGUAUCUAAUCCAUACUUAUAAAGACUUUUUAUUAGUGAGUGACUUUUAUAAAGUUGAAAAAUUCUUUAUAAAGUUAAUAAAAGUUCCUAGUAAAGAAAUUAAUAAUUACAAAAAACAAUUUGGUUAACAGGUUCUAGCCCAGUAUAAAAGGGCAUUAACUUGCAAGCUAGUUGGCUCAAGUUUG
This 212-nucleotide long non-coding RNA is filed under the name Prunus persica (peach). RNAcentral describes it as "long non-coding RNA (PPER_LNC003519)". Lineage: Eukaryota; Viridiplantae; Streptophyta; Magnoliopsida; Rosales; Rosaceae. The record is from RNAcentral.